AAUCAACGCUGGCGGCGUGCCUCAGACAUGCAAGUCGAACGAUUAAAGCUCUCUUCGGAGAGUGCAUAGAGUGGCGCACGGGUGAGUAACACGUAAGUAAUCUACCUUCGAGUGGGGAAUAACGUCCGGAACGGACGCUAAUACCGCAUAACGCAGCGGCAUCGCAAGAUGACAGUUGUUAAAGAUUUAUCGCUUGAAGAGGAGCUUGCGGCAGAUUAGCUUGUUGG
This 227-nucleotide ribosomal RNA is filed under the name uncultured bacterium. RNAcentral describes it as "partial 16S ribosomal RNA". It matches the Rfam family "Bacterial small subunit ribosomal RNA", at positions 32 to 252 of the family's 1533-position model. The record is from RNAcentral.